AUUGAACGCUGGCGGCAUGCCUUACACAUGCAAGUCGAACGGUAACGGGUCCUUCGGGAUGCCGACGAGUGGCGAACGGGUGAGUAAUAUAUCGGAACGUGCCCAGUAGUGGGGGAUAACUGCUCGAAAGAGCAGCUAAUACCGCAUACGACCUGAGGGUGAAAGGGGGGGAUCGCAAGACCUCUCGCUAUUGGAGCGGCCGAUGUCAGAUUAGCUAGUUGGUGGGGUAAAGGCCUACCAAGGCAACGAUCUGUAGUUGGUCUGAGAGGACGCGCAGCCACGCUGGGACUGAGGCACGGCCCAGACUCCUAGGGGAGGCAACAGUGGGGAAUUUUGGAGAAUGGGCGCAAGCCUGAUGCAGCAAUGCCGCGUGCAGAAAGAAGGCCUUCGGGUUGUAAACUGCUUUUGUCAGGGAAGAAAUCUUCUGGGCUAAUACCCCGGGAGGAUGACGGUACCUGAAGAAUAAGCACCGGCUAACUACGUGCCAGCAGCCGCCGUAA
This 500-nucleotide ribosomal RNA is filed under the name uncultured bacterium. RNAcentral describes it as "partial 16S ribosomal RNA". It matches the Rfam family "Bacterial small subunit ribosomal RNA", at positions 30 to 523 of the family's 1533-position model. The record is from RNAcentral.